GGCCUUGACAUACUAAGAACUUUCCAGAGAUGGAUUGGUGCCUUCGGGAACUUAGAUACAGGUGCUGCAUGGCUGUCGUCAGCUCGUGUCGUGAGAUGUUGGGUUAAGUCCGCAACGAGCGCAACCCUUUUCCUUAUUUGCCAGCGGGUAAUGCCGGGAACUUUAAGGAUACUGCCAGUGACAAACUGGAGGAAGGCGGGGACGACGUCAAGUCAUCAUGGCCCUUACGGCCAGGGCUACACACGUGCUACAAUGGUCGGUACAAAGGGUUGCUACCUCGCGAGAGGAUGCUAAUCUCAAAAAGCCGAUCGUAGUCCGGAUCGCAGUCUGCAACUCGACUGCGUGAAGUCGGAAUCGCUAGUAAUCGCGGAUCAGAAUGCCGCGGUGAAUACGUUCCCGGGCCUUGUACACACCGCCCGUCACACCAUGGGAGUUUGUUGCACCAGGAGUAGGUAGUCUAACCGCAAGGAGGACGCUUACCACGGUGUGGCCGAUGACUGGGGUGAAGUCGUAACAAGGUAGGCGUAGAUGA
RNAcentral lists this ribosomal RNA (532 nucleotides) under uncultured bacterium. RNAcentral describes it as "bacterial SSU rRNA". It matches the Rfam family "Bacterial small subunit ribosomal RNA", at positions 977 to 1509 of the family's 1533-position model. The record is from RNAcentral.